Molecule: long non-coding RNA, 620 nt
Organism: Ornithodoros turicata
Lineage: Eukaryota; Metazoa; Arthropoda; Arachnida; Ixodida; Argasidae
Exons: 3
Source: RefSeq, a predicted model, not a curated record
AGCCCUCGCCGUAGGUAGCCUUCCAGAGUGUGUAUUUCCCAACCAUUCUUAUGCGGUAGAAAGGGAGCAGGCACUGGAGACUAACCAAUCAUAUUUCGCAAUGCUAUCAUUCUCUCUCCUGACUGGUUGAAAGUUAGAGGCGUACGCGCUAUUGAGGUGCUUUCACAGAAGGACGUACUCGUAUGCCCCGCUCUCUCCCCUGAAAUCAAGAUCGGUAGCGUUAUUGUACUGUGGAAUAGAUAGCGCGUUAUGUGGUGAAGCUCUGUCUUUACAAUAGGGAACAGGUCAGUUGGGACCCUUUUACGUGUAUCAGGACUUCAAGACAGUCAUCAUGAAGGCCGUCAUCGUCGUGUUUCUCCUGGUCAUUUUCUGUGCUGUCAUCGACGCUACAGUCCACAAGAUCCACCUCGGCGUUAGGGACGCAAGCCCAGAUUACUUCUCUCCUAAGAUUUCUUCAGAAGAUUACUUGACUCCUCAUUCCCGUGUCCGGAGGUUCUGCAUGGGUCUACUUCUUGGAAUUGACUGCUGAAGACCGCCUGAAUGUCGCCAUCCAAGAAGUCAAUAAAAAGAUGCCUCCUCUUAUCUGUUGAACAGGAAUAACCACGAGGCACAAAGCACGA